UGAGGAAUAUUGCGCAAUGGGGGCAACCCUGACGCAGCGACGCCGCGUGAGUGAGGAAGGCCUUCGGGUCGUAAAGCUCUGUCAAAGGGAAAGAAGUGCAUGGUGGCUAAUACCUGCCAUGUUUGACGGUACCCUUAAAGGAAGCACCGGCUAACUCCGUGCCAGCAGCCGCGGUAAUACGGAGGGUGCAAGCGGUGUGCGGAAUCACUGGGCGUAAAGGGCGCGUAGGCGGUUUGAGAAGUCAGAUGUGAA
This 252-nucleotide ribosomal RNA is filed under the name uncultured prokaryote. Its description in RNAcentral is "partial 16S ribosomal RNA". It matches the Rfam family "Bacterial small subunit ribosomal RNA", at positions 355 to 598 of the family's 1533-position model. The record is from RNAcentral.